AUAGCCGCAGGAGCGGGGAGGUGGGCGAGCACUCGCAGGCCCACAGCGGACCGAACCACUGGCCGUCCUGAGGGGCGGCAUGAAGGCAAUUCAGAUCGGACCAUCGGCGCCACAGCUGCAGGGGGGACCGGACGUUACCAAGCUGUCUGAGAGAAGGGGGGCUCCUGCUGGUCCAGGCUGCAACACGACCCCUGCAGGGCGCGAGACUACGCCGCCGCCUACGCCGUAGGACUAAACUGAGGCGAGAAACCAGGUAGGACGUCUCUUCGGGAUCGGAAGAAGUCCCGGAGACCCACUGCCCUCGCGUUCCAAAUGAUCCCUUAGGAGAAAAGCCCUCAGUUUGCCCACCUAUCCAACCCUUAGCGCCCCUUCCCUUCCGCCCUUCCCCCUCGUCGCCGCAACCUCACCCUCCGGUCUUCCUCGACCCUCUGGACCGACCUCGUCUUCAGUCCUGUCCUGACCCUUCAGCUCUGCCAUCCACCGAACCCUCAAACACCCAGGACUAACCAUCCUUUUGGGCGUCACCCCAGAUCCACUCCAACUGUCUCCUCAAAGUGUCCCUUCGGAGACACCCCCUCAGCUGACUCGCGCCCAGUAGUCAUCGUUGUACCCACAUCUCCAGUGACGGCUCUGGGGUAGCGCGGCCGCUCAGCACUCAGCCCGGCGACUGCGGCGGGGUCCUCCGCACAACCGGGUCCUUUGCGCCCUCCGCCCCUUUGGCCCCUGCUUCCCAACUUGGUGUCUGCCUGAGCCGGGCUGGGAUUGCUCUCACAUCCCGUUUUACCUUGGGAAAACCUUUGGCCUGGCAGUUUGCCAGUCCCCUGCUACCGCUCUUACCUGUUGCAAAGGGCACCGUGUUCCCGUUGCCCAGGGCUGGCUUGGGAUUACCAGGCUGGCCCUGAGGACGCCAUGGGACUGCCCUGGAGGCAAGGACCGUACAUUAUUAAGUUGUAUCUCCAGCGCCCAGCACAGUGCUUGGCACAUGGUAGCACUCAGUAAAUAUUUAAUGGGUGGGUGAAUGAAUGAGACCAAUGCAGAGGCUGUGAGGCAGAGUGCUUUAGUGAGAAAAAUGUCACUAGUUACAUGAAGUGGGAAAAAAGGAAGGGCAUCUAGGGGAUUACUUGUGGUGCUUACGUUGGGAGCAUAGAACUGAACAUAUUCAGUCUCUCAAUUCAUGCAUCUAAUGUCAUUUACAUAGAAACUUCUAUUUAUCAGCUGAUUUCCCUUUAUGUUCUGUUUAAAAAAAAAAAAAGUCAGGGCCAAGGCUGCAGAAAUUUUUACUGGUCAGUGUGCCUCAGAGGCUGCCCAGAUAAUCUUGAAAGAGCUUUACCCAGGUGACACCCCUCCUCUUGCCCUAGCGACUAACUGCUCCCUCUAGAGAAGAACUGUGGAGGCUAGCCACAGUCUUUAAACCUUACCCAAUGUAGCUGGUCAGCUAGUGCUUCAGGACAGGUUGGAGGAAUGACCUCAGUUAUUUUACCCUUUUAGCUCCUGGAUACCUCCCCUCCCCUUUCCUCCACUGGAGGGGUAGACAUUCCAGGCUGGCCUAGUGUGAGAACUAUCAAAGAUUCCUAAAUACUACUGAAGGAUGAUCAGGCCAUAUGGGCCAUUUAUAUCUCAGUAGACCAGAAUCAGGCAGGGGUUACUGCUAUGUGAACAGUGUCAGUAAUAAACAAGAACACGGGCCUUUUAAAGAUGGGAUUCUCAAAGAACAGAAAGCCUGAAACCUGUUUUUGUUGAUUCCUAAGAGGAUGACCUGAACAGAUUCAGUUUCCUGAAGCUAAGACAGGGUUCGGCGACCUCAGUGUUGGCCCCGGUUCCGUGGGGAAGUGGAUGAUAUUGCUGAGUGAUGAAACAAUGGCUGGCAAGCUGCGGGAGUUUAUGAGCUAAGAAGUAGUUGCCUGACUAAUAGUGGCAUUAUUGUCACUGGGGCUCAGCGUAUUAGUAGGUAAAAUAGGGACUGGAGUUUCUUAGCAGGCUCCAUGGAAAUUAAGCAGUGAUACGGUUUAGGGGAGUGGGGAGAUCCCACCACUGUCUCUGGUGUUCUGCUAUCCGUGUCCCUCCUACUGUAUGGCUAUAGCACACUCACCAUCAUUGUUUCUUUUCUGCUUUGAGCCAGGUCAAAAUCUGAUUUCCUCUGAUUUUUAUGUUAAGUGUUUAAGGUUCCUUUUUGUUAAAUGUUUAAGGUUCCUUUUUGAGGCAAGGCCUGCCUAACUGGAAGCUGGGUAUUUUCUCACCCAUUUCUAGCUUUGAUUUAUCCUUCUUUACUUUUUCUUUCUACCAUUCUCUGACUUAUCUUUGUAACUUUACAAAGUAAGUCUUGGAUCACACAUACUGAAAGCAGGAAAGAGCUCCUGAGCUGAAUUAAGCAGGGGCAUGGUAUCUGGAAACCAGUACUUUUUUUUUUGUUAACCAAUAUGUUUUUAAUGGGCUUUUCUACUUUUCCCUGUCUAGGAUCCCUGUUAAGACCUCAGUAGCCCCAAAACACUCUGGAUUGUUUGAUUUAUUUUUUCUUCACUUCCAAUAUUUCAGAGUGUUGCCAGAUAAAAUACAGGAUGCCAAGUUAAAUUUGAAUUUCAGAUAAACAGCAGGCUGUCCUGUAUUUUUAUUUGCUAAAUCUGGCAACCCUAGUUCAUGGGAAGGCUUAUGUGUUCUGUUUUUCUCUCUGCAACUUUAGGACAAUAACUCAUCCUUUUCUUCUGUUGCUCAUACACAAUGACUGAGCACCCUAUUAAAUGUCACUUGACUGAGAUGGCUCACUGACUGCAUGUUAGGGUAAGGGCAGGCUCUGUAGAGAUAGUGCCAUUGGUCAGUGUUUAGGUUACCCAGAAAACACCCAUCAAAUAUUGACAUAUGAUAUUGUAAUUCCUGUCAAAUGAGUCUGUCUUGCAAAAUGAGCAUAUUAUUUUGAGUGGCCAGAUAUAAACAUUGCUCUGGAUUAACUUCAAGGGAUGAGGGUGGGGUGUGGAGUGCGUUCUAACGAAAAGUUAACAACUCACAGUAGAACUUCUCUUGUACCAUGUUUACUGUUUUUUUUUAAGUUGUGGUAAAUAUAUAUAAUAUAAAAUUUACCAUUCUUAAAUAUAUAGUUCAGUGUCAUUAAGCACAUUCACAUUGUUGCCCAGCCAUCACCACCAUCCAUCUCCAGAACUUGUUCAUCUUCUCAAACUGAAACUGCAUAAUCAUUAAACGGUUAACUCUUCAUUUCCUCUUCCCCCAGCGCCUGGCAACCACCAUUCUACUUUCUUUCUCCAUGAAUUUGACUGCUCUAGGUACUUCAUAUAAGUCAAAUCAUACAAUAUUUGUCUCUUUGUGACAGGUUUAUUUUCACUUAACAUAAUGUCUUCAAGGUUCAUCCAUGUGAUAGCUUGCAUCUGAAUUUCCUUCCCUUUUAAGGCUGAAUAAAAUUCAUUGUAUGUAUAUAUCACAUUAUUUUUAUCCACAUUCAUCGAUGGACACUUGGGUUGUUUCCACCUUUUGGUUGUUGUGAAUAAAACUGCUAUGAACAUUGGUGUACAAAUAUGAGUCCCUGUUUUCAAUUCCUUUGGAUAUAUACCCAGAAAUGGAAUUGCUGAAUCAUAUGGUAAUUCUGUGUUUAAUUUUUUGAGGAAUUGCCAUACCAUUUUCCACAGUGGCUGUACCGUUUUACAUUUCCACCAGCAAUGUAAAGCAUUCCAGUUUUUCCAUAAACUUGCCAACACUUAUUUUCUGUUUUGUUUUUUAAAUAAUAGUCAUCCUAAUGGGUGUGAAAUGGUAUCUUGUGGUUUUGAUUUGCAUUUCUCUAAUGGCUAGUGAUGUUUAGUAUCUUUUCAUGUACUUAUUGGCCGUUUUUAUAUCUUUGGAGAAAAGUCUAUUGAAAUCCUUUGCCCAUUUUUUAAUUGGGUUAUAUGUCUUUCUGUUGUUGAAUUGUAAGAGUAUUUUAUAUAUUCAGAAUAGAAGUCCCUUAUUAGAUAUUAUAAUUUGAAAAUAUAUUCUCCCAUUUCAUGCGUUGCCUUUUCACUCUGUUGAUAGUAUCAUUUGAUGCACAAAAGGUUUUAAAUUUUAAUGAGAUCCAGUUUACCUAUUUUUUUCUUUUGUUGCCUGUGCUUUUGGUGUCACAGCCAAGAAAUCAUUGCCGAAUUCAGUGUCAUGAAACUUUUCCCCUGUGUUUUCUUCUAAGCUUUUUUAAAUAGGUUUAUCUUUUAUGGUUAGGUUUUGAUACAUUUUGAGUUAAUUUUUGUAUGAUGUGUAAGAUAAGGGCCCAAUCUAAUUCUUUUGCAUGUGGAUAUCCAGUUUUCCUAACACCAUUUGUUGAAGACUGUCCUUUCCCCUUUGAAUAGUGUUGGCAUUCUUGUCGAGUAUCAUUUGACCAGAUAUGCCAGGUUUAUUUCUAGGCUCUCUGUUCUCUUUCAUUGGUCUGUGUGUCUGUCUUUAUGCCAGUACCACACUCUUUUUUUUAAAAUUUAUCUUUUAUUGAAGUAUAGUUGAAUUACAAAGUUGUGUUAAUUACUGCUGUACAGCAAAGUGACUCAUUUAUACAUAUAUAUAUACAUUCUUCUUGAUAUUCUUUUCCAUUAUGGUUUAUCACAGGAUAUUGAAUAUAGUUCCCUGUGCUAUACAGUAGGACCUUGUUGUUUAUCCAUUCUGUAUAUACCACUUUGUAUCUGCUAAUCCCAAACUCCCAGUCCAUCCCUCUCCCACCCCCUCCCCCUUGGCAACCACCAGUCUAUGCUCUAUGCUCCUGAUUCUGUUUCUGUUUCAUAGAUAGUUUCAUUUGUGUCAUAUUUUAGAUUCCACAUAUAAGUGAUAUCAUAUGGUAUUUGUCUUUCUCUUUCUGACUUACUUCAUUUAGUAUGAUAAUCUCUAGUUGCAUCCAUGUUGCUGCAAAAGGCAUUAUUUUGUUCUUUUUUAUGGCUGAGUAGUAUUCUAUUGUAUAUAUAUACCACAUCUUAUUUAUCCAUUCAUCUGUUGGUGGACAUUUAGGUUGUUUCCAUGUCUUGGCUAUUGUGAGUAGUGCUGCUAUGAACAUAGAGGUGCAUGUAUCUUUCUGAAUUAUAGUUUUGUCCAGAUGUAUGCCUGGUAGUGGGAUUGCUGGAUCAUAUGGUAAUUCUAUUUUUAGUUUUCUGAGGAGCCUCCAUACCGUUUUCCACAGUGGCCGCACCAACUUGCAUUCCCAUUAACAGUGUAGGAGGGUUCCCUUUUCUCCACACCCUCUCCAGCAUUUGUUAUUUGUAGGCUUUUUAAUGAUGGCCAUUCUGACCAGCAUGAGGCAGUGCCAUACUCUUUUGAUGACUGUAAGCUGUGUAGUAAGGAAGCUUGAGUCCUACAACUGUGUUCUGCUUUUUCAAGAUUUUUUUUUGACUAUUCAGGAUCCUUUGCAAUUUCAUACAAAUUUUAGGAUAGAUUUUUCUAUUUCUGCAAAAAAUAUCAUUAGGAUUUUGAAAGGGAUUGCAUUAAAUCUGUGGAUUGCUUUGGGCAGUUGACAUCCUUUGUGUUGUUGUGGAAAGAGCUACCCUCUUAACAAAUUUUUAAGUUUACAAUAUAUUAUUGACUGUAGGUGCAUUGUUUUACAGCAGAUCUUUAGAGCUUAUUCAUCUUGCUUGACUGAACUUUAUACCCAUUGAACAACAACUCCUCAUUUCCCUCUCCCCAGUCAACCAUCAUUCCACUCUUUGAUUCAUGAACUAAACUAUUUUAUAUUCCUCAGACAAGUGGAAUCAGGCAGUAUUUGUCAUUCUGUGAUUAGCCUAUUUCACUUAGCAUGAUAUCCAACCAUGUUGUCGAAUAUUGCAAGUAUUGACAUCUUAACAAUAUUAAGUCUUACCAUCCAUGAACACAGGAUAUCUUUCCAUUUAUUUGUAUCUUCUUUAAUUUCUUCCAGUAACAUUUUAUAGUUUUCAGUGGUUACGUUUAUUCCCACAUAUUUUAUUCUUUUUGAUGUGUUGUAAAUGGAAUUAUUUUCUUAAUUUCCUUUUCAGAUUGUUCAUUAUUAUUGUCUAGAGACACAACUGAUUUUAUAUGUUUUAUAUGUUGACUUCGUGUCCUGAAACUUUGCUGUAUUCAUUUAUUAAUUCUAACAGUUGGGGGGGUAGAUCUUUAGGGUUUUCUACAUAUAAGAUCAUGUCAUCUGCCAACAGUAGUGCAGAUGCCUUUUAUUUCUUUUUCUUGCCUAAUUGCUCUGGCUAGGACUUCCAAUACUAUGUUGAAUAGAAGUGGCAAAAGUGAACCAUAUUUACUCUUAACACACAGUCUUAGGAAUUUGAUGAUUGGUUUGGUUUGAUGCUUAAGGAUGUAAGUCCAUAAUAGAUGCUGAGAACAAAACUAUAUUUUAGCAUAGUAUAUUAGUGUUAACAGUGAGUCAUCAAGAAAAAGUUAAGUUAUGGCCUAUACACUGUGAUUAAAACAAAAGUGUGGGGGCUUCCCUGGUGGCACAGUGGUUGGGAGUCUGCCUGCCGAUGUAGGGGACGUGGGUUCGUGCCCCGGUCCGGGAGGAUCCCACAUGCUGCGGAGAGGCUGGGUCUGUGAGCCAUGGCCACUGAGCCUGCACGUCCGGAGCCUGCGCCUCCGGAUCCUGUGCUCCGCAACAGGAGAGGCCGCUGCAGUGAGAGGCGCGCGUACCGC
This is a long non-coding RNA of Phocoena sinus (vaquita), 6600 nucleotides long. Lineage: Eukaryota; Metazoa; Chordata; Mammalia; Artiodactyla; Phocoenidae. The record is from Ensembl.